UCUUCCCAGUUUUCUUACAGCUUGAAAACUAAAAUCUCAGUAUUUUUCUGGAUUUAAUAGAGUUUUGUUUCGACUUUUCUUCUCCGGUGAAAACAAAAUAGGGUUAUGAGUUGAUUAGGGUUAAGAGUUUAUUAUCUUCUUCUCUCUUUUAACCAUCUAUUCAAAUCACCAGAACCUAUUAUUCAUCAUCGGACUUCCAUUUAUCAAUAACAACAGCGAACCCUAGAAAUUCUUUCAUCUCUGUUCAUCAAUUACAUCUCCAAUUACUUCUCAAACCCUAACUGCAAUCUCAAAUUCAAACUAAACCCAUGUCUUACAGCCACAUGAACUCUUCGAUUCAUUCUUAAUCUUCUCAAUUUACACUCAAUAAUCCAUGGCAUCGACAUCUUCUUCAUAGACUUUCUUAUGUUUGCUCAAAUGCAUCUAAACCCAUCUACCAUUCAGCAAUUAGUACCUUGAAUUUCUUCCCCUAAGUUCCCUCUAUUUGAUACAACAGCAGCAGCCGCUGCUUUUAUUUUCUCGUUGUGGCGAUCAAAACCCUAGCUCUCUUCCCCGAAAAACUAAAAUCAAAUCCAACCUCUCAUCAACCAUUUGUGAUGCAACCAAUUUACUUUUUUUAAGAUUACAAACUUCAGAUUUGAUUGAAUCUGAAAUUGCAGUUACGGGGAAUGAAGUGUGAGAAUAGAGUUGCAGGAAGAAGAUGAGUGCUUCACAAGAACCAAAUGAACUGAGAAGGUGGACUAGGUGACAGAGAAUAGAAUUAUGGACCUGAACUGAAACUGGUGUUGCUGUUGGAAUGCAGUGAUUAGAUGCAUGUUAGGUUGCAGGGAUUGAGCUGAAUUGCAGGCAAGGCUAUGCCUAAGCAUAACUUGCGCUCAAGUCUCAAGAAACAAGCAGGUUUUUGAAUAAGUUGGUAAGUAAAUUGAUGUUUAUCUGAUUGAUUUGUUGUGGUAAUUGUUUUUUGUUUUUGGGGGCAGUUGAAUAUGUUUUCCUCGCAUAAUUGAGUUGAAGAGCUUAAAUAUAUGAUAUUUAGAUAUAAUUGUACGGGAUGGUGUUUUUUACUGAUGUUCUUGCGAAGUGGUGGUGACUGAAGUCAGAAUGUCCUUUGCUUAGAGUUGGCGCAUAGACAACAUGGAUUGAGUCCAACAAACAAUGGAAGCGUGUAUCCUCAUGUCAUCCUUGACAAACUCAGUAGAGCAAAACUCAUCCUAAUCUAAAUUCGUUUGGAUUUUGUAAUUAUUGAGUGCAUACAUUAUCAAUGUAUAGAAAAGAAGUGAAAAUCAUGUGUUUUUCUAUUCUGCAUCUCUGCUGAUCUCUUAAAACCAGAAGAAGAACUUAAGGGAAAGGAGUGUGCAGUUGUUCGCCAGAGGCAAUUGUGUUUGCACAAAUCACCCCGAGACAUCCUAGAUGAUAUACCUAUCCAUGGAAUGUCAGAAACGAGCUAUGAACUGUCGAAAUAGAGAGGAAUCUGUAAGUAAUAAGAUAGUCGGUGGAGUUGGAUGCAUAAAACAAGAUUCCAUUUUGUUUUCAUAUUUAUGUUUCACAAGUGUCAUUGGUGAUCUUCAUAAGGUGUUCUGUCUUUCUGUUUAUAUCUUUAAUUGUUUCUGGGUACGGUUACCGAUUUAAAUUUUUUUCCUACCUCAGUUGAUAUCUUUAAUUGUUUCUGUUUAGAUUCCACUUUUA
This is a long non-coding RNA of Papaver somniferum (opium poppy), 1683 nucleotides long. RefSeq lists it as uncharacterized. The transcript is spliced from 2 exons. NCBI's taxonomy places the organism in Eukaryota, Viridiplantae, Streptophyta, Magnoliopsida, Ranunculales, Papaveraceae. The record is from RefSeq and is a predicted model, not a curated record.